Molecule: ribosomal RNA, 460 nt
Filed under: uncultured bacterium
Lineage: Bacteria
Description: partial 16S ribosomal RNA
Rfam family: Bacterial small subunit ribosomal RNA
Source: RNAcentral
CCUACGGGGGGCAGCAGUGAGGAAUAUUGGUCAAUGGGCUUACGCCUGAACCAGCCAAGUCGCGUGAGUGAAGACUGCCCUAUGGGUCGUAAACCUCUUUUGUCAGGGAGCAACGCCGGCUACGCGUAGCCGGACUGAGAGUACCUGAAGAAAAAGCAUCGGUUAACUCCGUGCCAGCAGCGGCGGUAAUACGGAGGAUGCGAGGGUUAGCCGGAUUUAUUGGGUUUAAAGGGUGCGUAGGCGGAAUGCCAAGUCAGCGGUAAAAUCGCGGGGCUCAACCUCGCUCCGCCGUUGAAACUGGCAUUCUUGAGUGGGCGAGAAGUAUGCGGAAUGCGUGGUGUAGCGGUGAAAUGCAUAGAUAUCGCGCAGAACUCCGAUUGCGAAGGCAGCAUGCCGGCGCCCAACUGACGCUGAGGCACGAAAGCGUGGGUAUCGAACAGGAUUAGAUACCCCGGUAGUC